UGACUCUGAAGGACUAUUCUCUGGAAGGACAUUAAACGGACCAAAAUGUAUGAAUACUUGAAUACGGAUUCGCCAUGGGACCCUAGCAACCCUCCUCUUCCCAGAAUUCACCUGGCUUCUCAUUUAUUGUUGUCGUCUGCGGCUUUAGCUUGACAGUGCUAACGAUAAAAAGCCCAGAUGGAUUGUAAAUUAGCGAGAACUUAUUCCUGACAUGUAUUUUUAUCACACAUACCUUAAACAUCUGAGGUACAAUUACAAGGCUUGUGUUCACAGGUUUCAGGACACAUGGAUUACGUUAAUAUAAUAUAUAAAAAAACUGUGACAACGGAUCUUCACUGAGGCCAUCACAAGGAAACCCUAUUCGUUUUUCAUGCUGUGUUAAGUUUCUACAAGUAACCAACCUCGGCACUGGGUCGUGUACCUUCAGAUGAGAGUGAUGAGAAUAAACACAGGUGUGAACAGAGUGUUCGUACGAACAGUGGUCAACACGUGGUGCUCUCUGUCCGUGUGUCGUCUGCGCGGUGGUUUCCCGUUACUGGCUUGUCGAACCACAAACCAGGCCGGUGGCUUAUUAUUUUGAAGUGUAUACAGGGAGGUUAGGGACGUACAACGCGCAGAACUGCUGUCUACCUUGAACAUCCCGUGAAAAUGAACUACCCCGUGCGGAGGUGUUCAAGAUGGUAGCCGCUCAGUAAACCCGCCAGGCAGUGGAUUUCUCACCUGAACGACGCCAUGUUCCCUGAGCAAAGUGUUUGAAGUUUUUUUCUCUACCCUGGCGGGCGGAGAAACGUUAGACAGACAGACAAAUAUCGCGAAAGGAGAGGAUAACAUGAAGAAACAGGAAAGCAAAAGAGACAGGAUGGCUCCGGCCACCAAACUGGCCAGCCGCUCGCUGACCAACCUGCCCACCGUCACCAUCACAGACAUGGACAACCACUCGGCCUCCUCGGACCGGCUGUGUCGCCCCACCUCGCUGUGCACGCGCCUGAUGGACCAGGUGAGCGACGUCUGCUCCCAACCCCACUCGCACCCGGGCACCCCCGAGCUGCGGAGGAAGGCGUUCAGCACCUUCGUGGGCGACAUGCGCUACAUCAUCGUGGCCAACCCACCAGAGCGAGCCAAAGAUGACAGCAGUGUUGGCGCCAGAAACGGACAGCUGUCGAGGACGGGGUCGCUCACGGUCUUACGACGGACGAACUCCCGGAAGACGGGCAGCAGCAGCAGUCGGGCCUCCAGCAUCAGCAUGGACAGCGUCGACUCCUACGCCUCCGUGGACCUGGGCAUCGACAAAAUGCCGCCCAUCGAAACAGCAGAGGCAGCGCACGUGUGCUCCAUCAGAUUACGGAUGAUUGCACGACGGAUAGAGAAGGAGGAGAUACCCAAAGACGACCUCAAGAGGAAUCUAGAAUAUGCAGCGUCCGUGUUAGAAAACGUUUACAUAGAUGAGACAAGCUCCCCCGCCACCAAGCAGAAAGCUCCCAGUGCUGACAGGUAUCCCUCGUCCCUCACCAGGCGGCUGUGUGACGAGGAUGACGAGCUCAGCGAGGUGGAGCCAGAUGCUGUACCCAGCGAGGUGCGGGAUUGGUUAGCCUUGACCUUCACCCGCUCCAUGUCCAACAUGAAACGUCGAGGGGAGGACAAGCCGCGCUUCCGCUCAGUUGCGCAUGCCAUCCGCGCAGGCAUCAUGGUGGACAGGAUUUAUCGGCGAAUGUCCAGCUCUGCAGGCUUGCAUGUUCCUCCACAUGUGUUGUUGUUGUUGAAGAACCUAGAUGACUGGUCAUUCAAUGUAUUUGCUGUAAACGACGUAUCGGAUGGACAUGCGUUGAAGUUUGUCGGUUAUGAGCUGCUGCAGAAGUAUGACCUCAUCACCAAGUUUAAGAUCAACACGCAGGUCUUGGAUAGCUUCCUGUUCGCCCUGGAGGCUGGCUACAGCAAGUUUCGCAACCCUUACCAUAACCUCAUCCAUGGAGCUGAUGUUGCUCAGACCGUCCACUUCGUCUUGUCGCAGAGCCACCUGGCGCAUUGGUUGACAGACCUGGAGGUGUUUGCUACAAUAAUCGCUGCCUUGAUACACGACUACGAACACACGGGCACGACAAACAACUUCCACAUCAGCACGGCGUCGGAGGUCGCGUUGCUGUAUAACGACAGAGCAGUCCUGGAGAACCACCACAUCAGCGCCGCCUUCCGCAUGCUGCGAGAGGAUGAUACCAACAUCGCCAGCAACCUGAGCAAGGAGGAGUACAGGGAGUUUCGGAACCUGGUUAUCGAUAUGGUGCUGGCCACGGACAUGUCGUACCAUUUUCAGCAGAUCAAGAACAUGAAGAACCUGCUCAAUAUGCCAGAAAACAUUGAAAAGUCCAAAGCACUGUCCUUGGUGUUGCACUGUGCUGACAUCAGUCAUCCAGCCAAGGACUGGGAGCUACACGCCAGGUGGACAUCACACCUGCUGGAGGAGUUCUUCAGACAGGGUGAUCGUGAACAGGAACUUGGCCUACCAUUCUCACCUCUUUGUGAUAGAAAAAGCACACUUGUGGCAGAGUCACAGAUCGGUUUCAUAGAAUUCAUCGUCGACCCCAGCUUUCAAGUGAUGGGGGACAUGCUGGAGAAAGUGUUAAGUCCGCUUCACCAACAUCAGGGCUCUGGGCGGUCCGCUGUCGAGGAGUCCAUAUCAGAGGAGGUGUUCGAAACCCGGGAAAACAAACGGGACAAGAGCACCAGUACCUGUGGACUGUCACGGCCUGGGACUCCCAGAACUCCUCUGUCGCCAAUCGGACGAUACGAGCUGAAGCGACCGUGGGUGGAGUGUCUUCAACAAAACAAACUCAACUGGAAGGAUAAAGCGCUUGCAGACGCCGAGGAAAGGCAGAGGGUGGCUUCUCAGUCCUCAUCGCCAUUGCCCAUCUGAACACGUGGACAAACAGGCUGACAAGAGUCGCUCACAGACGCCGGUCAGCGCCAGUGGGAAACCACCGAGUGCCAAGUCUCCAGCAGAGAGAACACGACAAGUGGAGACCAAAGACACGAGCGCCAGCACAGCCUCACCUGUGCCGCAGCAGCAGGAGCAGCAUCAGCAGCAGUCGCCUGCUCAGCGAGACUCCGUCUCAGACUCUUCCUCUGAAAUCAGUAUUAAGCCCCUCGUCAAAGGGCAAGGCCCUUGUUACUAUUAAAAACUCUUGACCUCUGCCCUUCACCACGAUGACGUCAUCACCACUUCGUUAACGCAAGCGUAGGCGCUCAUUUCGCAGUCUGCACACGCUGAAACUCGACUUACAAGACAGAGCAAGUCACCUGCCUUGUUUGGCGUUCAAAGACCACGGUUUUUGUAAUUAUUAUUUACAUGGAUGGAGAUGCCUCUGAGGACGAGACAGCACGCGCUGCGAGCAUGACAAAAGUAUCAGACACGAGUGAUAUGGAACACUAGCAAUGAUGCAGCAGCUCACAUGAUGGUGUCAGCUGUACUUAACGUGCAUAAUAUUCCACGCAGGCCAGGGUUUGUGCUAAUUCCUCCCCCGCUACCCCCCAGUGCAAGGAGACUUCUGAGUGGCGCCCACUGUGAACAUCGUCAGAAAGCUGCAACAGACUGUGUCCAUAUGAGUUUCUUACAGGUCGUGAGUUUGAAAAUAGACUUUUUAUAUAAAAAAAACCAUUUCUGAUGAAGAAAUGACUUCAGAUUUUUAAGGCUUCCUCAGACCUCAUCUGGUUGAAAAGUAAUUUUUCAGCUGUGGGGUAUUUUUUUUGUUUUGUUGCCAUUCUAAAAUGCAUUCAUUAUUAUUAUUUUUGCUCCAUAUCUUGCUCUCCGUUUCUCAUUUCUUCGCUCUCUCUCUCUGCUUCUUCCACUUAGCUUAUGCAUUCUAUGCAGCUAAGACGCGCUGGAGGGAGAUAACUCUGCACGUCUCGUACUAGUCGAGGUUAUUUCUUUUUUAUAUUUCAUCACAUCGGCCAGGUUUCACACAUCUCUGUAUAGAUGUUCUAGCAGCUGCUGCUAGGACAAUGCUUUUGCUGCCUUAAAAUGACUCAGUUAUAUUUAUAUUACAAGUACUCAGUAAAUCAAAUGUUGCAAAUGCUUGCAAAAUGGCUGAAGCAGGAUUUUUUUAUUAUUAUUAAACCUGUUGGCAAAAACCUUUAUGGUUUAAAAUGUUGAUCGCUAAAGAAAAACCAAAAUGAAACUUGGUUGUUUUAGGUUCAAAACAAUCUCGUGCAAGUAUGGAAAAGUUCUAAGUAACAGACAUGACACAACUAGGGACAAAAGAUCUUCAUUCGGUUUGGCUGCUGCAUGACUUUGCGAGCUCAGAGCGCAAUGAUUGGCUAAUUUAAAAUCUUGAGAUGGGUGGUCCAGUACAUUUCGAGUACUCGGCCAGUUCUGUGCACAUGCGAGACAUGGCAACUUUAAAACUUGGAUGCUUGUGUAUGGGCAACAACAUUUUUCACCCAGUUCUUCAAUUCUUAUAUUAUAAGGAUGUAACCGUUAGGUACUUGCUUUGAAGGGAAAAAUGUGCUUCUGAAGAGACGAACCCAUCCUUUUUUUCGAUGGCAGAAACUUUUUUAAGUUUAAAGAAAGAGGCGCGAAGCUUUGCAGAUUGGCUUCGUCGAUGUCAAUGCAACAAUCGUCAUUUUCGCAUGUCCAUGUCAAGAAAAUACAAAUUUUGUUGGCACAAGUUUAUUCUACUGUAUUUACUGCAGGUCACGUGUCAGAGGACGCCGCAGGAAAAAAAUUCUUCAACCAUUUUUGCUCAUCGCUCGUACCACGUGAUCACUCACUACACACCUAUCGUUAAUGUAAUUUUGAAAUGCUUUUUGUUUCAUGUUUUGAUAACGUGUUUAGCAAGACAGGAAAGCUACUUAGUUCUCGCCGUGAUAUAUACCCUUAGACCCCGGCUUGAGCAAAGGACUAACAAACAGUAGUAGUACACCGUUAAGACUCGAGUUUAUGAUCAGAUUUGUUUAAUUAACUAACAUGGAGAAAAGUAACGGCAUGAUUCGAGGUUGUUUUCUUUUGCGAAAUCACCCGAGGAUCACGAGAACAUUUUUUAUAAGCUAUGAGAGGAGUGUUGUCUAGUUAGGAAAUCUUACUUAGAAACAAAUUUUUAAUCCUCGAGUCAGUCAUCAGAACAAAAGAAAAAAAAAAGUUCCAUGAUGCUUAGCUGGUGGUGAGGGACUAUCCGACUGAUUUCUGAUCCCAAUAGCUUUUUUUUUUUUUAGUUUCUGGGAAAGUAAAUGACGAGGAUAUAGAUAUGUUAUCCAUACUUGUAAUAACAUACUUUUGCAAUCAUGAAGAAAAAAUUCAGCGUUAAAUGUGGUUUUCCGUUAGUGCACGUCCGCGUUUAGUGAAUCGUUACGUCAUCAAGGAAGGGGGGAGGGUCUUUAACUCCUUCUACAAACUGUGAAAGGGCAACGGUGUGUUCCAGUAACCCCCUCUCCAGCCUCUUCCGUUACAGAUCGUCGAGCUUCUACUUCUUGUACAUAAAAUUUCAGGAAAAUAGGGCCGGCUGUUUGCUAACAUUUCUGCUGACCUGCAGCUGGCCUGAAAAAAGUUUCCAAGCUCAAAACAAAACUUGACUUGCUGUCUUUUUGAGAUGAUCGGCUAAAACUGAUGAGGACAUUUUAUAUAGACGUGCUUAUAUAGCUAAUAGGAAAGAAGUAUCUAGCAGCAAAUCUAAAAUUUAACCAGAUUAUUGAAGAAAAAAAUUAUAACGAAGGUCUUAAUAAAACGGGGGGUAAGGCAAGGCGAGUUGUUUCCCUUUCUACUUGUGUCAGUCUUUCAAAUUUUUCAUCAUUUCGAGGUGCCACAUACCGCACCGGCAAUGGAAGUUACAUACUGUGAGAGUUGUGACAAGUCAUCACUAGUAUUAAUUAAUAUUCAACACAAAUUACUAUUUGCUGUAGGAUUGCUUCUCCUGCUCACUUGCAUGCUUCUCUCCCCUGCUGCUACUUGAAACUGUCUGAAGGAUGCAGUAGACUUCUCUCAGGUGUGGUCACGUGACAGGACUGUCCUGUGAGCGUGCCUAGAGCGAAUGAUGCAAGUGUUUGAUGGCAAAUCAUUUACAGGUGAGAGAUCAACUGAAAGACUUCUUGAUGUCCUCCACACGUAAAUGUAAGAUGGAGGAUAGACAGAACUGCUGCUAUGCAGGGCCGUGCUCAGAUUUAUCGAGAGGAGUUAUCGAUGUCUAGUGUCAAACUAAAUGAGAUAUACACUGCUGUGGUGUACAGUGAGCUUUCUUAAACUGGAACCAUUUUUUUUUCUUUUUUUACUGUACGCGCACUUUACAUUCGUUGAACUUUCAUUUGUCACUCAGGUUAGCUAAAGUGCCAGUGUCGAGUUGAUUACCUUCACCUGUACACUUGUGGUAAAAUAACAUGAAGCCACACACAAAAGUUGGAAAGCAAUUGGUAGUCUAAAAGCUCCCAUAAUUUAAAAAAAAUAAGUGCGAUAGGUAGAUAUUACCAAAGCCUCCAGCAAUCUCUUGUAUUACUAAAAGAAUUUAAUUUAUGAUUUACGGGGGGAGGGAGACGUGUUCUCUUGGCUGUGCUGUCAGUUCAACAACCUCCCCCUAACAGCCUUAGUGAUCUUUAGUGGCCAAAGCACAGGACUGUCACAUGCCUGACUUUCUCACAGGUAAUCCAGUCACCUGAUGUUCCCGUGUUACUUGUUUGCAAUGAGAAUGAAACAUGUCCGUCUCUUGGUUGUUGGAAUAGCAAGCAACCGGGUUUUUUUCCAAACUGCACGUGGAAAAGUUGACAGCUGCAACAGGAGAAGGCAUGAUUUAAAAAAAAACAAUUUUACUCACAAACUUUAAACUUUCUUCAGCAGCUAUUUACACUGAUGGUGAUUCAAAUACCAUCAACUUUCAUGAGUGGAACUAGCAUUCUGCCUUGUACAAAAAACAACAAAAAAAAAAAUUUCAAAGUCUGCUUCGAUCCUUGUUGUUUGUAAUUUUUUUUAAAUGCCGCUUAAGAGGCUUAAACAUUUUUUUUAUGAGAGCACGAAGAAAGGUAGGUAAAUAAAACAGACUUCGAUACCUUUCACCAUUAUGUCUCCUUUAGCAUUUCAACCCUUGCAGUGAAAAUUGUGUCAACAGAACAACAAUUCCUCUCUUACCACAAGUAAGAAAAUGCUGAUUCACACUUCCUGAAGUAGGGACACAAAAGUUCAUCCAUGAUAACGGUUGUGGUUCACAGCACCAAAGCUUGAGCUAUGCAGCAUGUGAGCUGUCUUGCUUGGAAAAAUCAUAACCACAUACUUCCAACUGAUUCUCUCUCCCUUGACAAUCUCAUUUACUAUAAUUAUCUACAUCUCGUACAAUUUUCCAUCUAAUUUCAUCUUAAUCGCCCCACCCUUUUUUUUUAACCGAAAAAGUACAAGUGGCAGAGACUAGGAAGCUGCUUGCAUGUCUUCCCAGUUUUUUCGGACAGGAUACAACUGCAGCAAGUGGUCAGACAAGUGUAAACACUUAGUGCUCACAGGGUGUGUCCCUUUCUUGUUUCCGCAUGUAGGUUUGGCUUCACUGUAAAUACUUGACUGACGAGUUGCUUUACAAAAGUGCUCGCCGAGUAUUUUCUGUUAUUUCGGAUCUGUGAUGUAUUUUUAAAAAAACCUCAAGUAGUCGCAAGUUUUAAAUUCUUAUAUAUAUCUGAAGUAAUCAUCUAACAUGCAAAGUAUGUCUUUCAACUCUGAUUGUUUCUCCAUGUGUGAUUGGCUGUUACCAUGUUAUCAGGCUCAGUUGAAGAACGAUGGUACUGUUUCAUUCAAUAAAAGAACUAUAACCUUCUCUUGUGCUUUUUUAUUCUCUUAGUGAAGUUUCAUAAGGUGGAAAGGUGCACGAAGCACUCAAACAAUUCUCGAUAAUUUGAUGCACUGUUUGAAAACACCAAUAAGAGACUCAUUAAAAAUAUUUUUUAAUGAAGCAAAUUUUAUUUAUUAAUUUUUUUGUAUUAUUAUUUAUAUAUUUGCAGCUGUAACAAUAACAAACAAAAUCAACAUUAGGGAUAACCAUGAUGGGAUCUCACAGAAUAUUUCUUUUUUCUCCACUCCUUAUAAUCGUUCAUUGAAAGUGAACAUUUUAAACUCAUCUUCUCUUUUCUGUAUAUUUACACGAAAUAUGCACAUAUGCGACAUAACAGGAAAGAAUCUUCUACGGCUGUGUACAUGAACAAAAUGAAUAAAACCAUCUUCUCAAGA
RNAcentral lists this unclassified non-coding RNA (8179 nucleotides) under Pomacea canaliculata. RNAcentral describes it as "calcium/calmodulin-dependent 3',5'-cyclic nucleotide phosphodiesterase 1A-like, transcript variant X3". The record is from RNAcentral. Lineage: Eukaryota; Metazoa; Mollusca; Gastropoda; Architaenioglossa; Ampullariidae.